GGGCCCGCACAAGCGGUGGAGUAUGUGGUUUAAUUCGAUGCAACGCGAAGAACCUUACCAGGGUUUGACAUCCUGCGAAUCUCUUGGAAACAGGAGAGUGCCUUCGGGAACGCAGUGACAGGUGGUGCAUGGCUGUCGUCAGCUCGUGUCGUGAGAUGUUGGGUUAAGUCCCGCAACGAGCGCAACCCACGUCUUUAGUUGCCAGCAUUUAGUUGGGCACUCUAGAGAGACUGCCGGUGAUAAACCGGAGAAGGUGUGGAUGACGUCAAGUCAUCAUGCCCCUUAUGUCCAGGGCUGCACGCAUGCUACAAUGGCAAGUACAACGAGUCGCAAUACCCGAGGUAGGGCAAAUCUCUUAAAGCUUGUCUCAG
RNAcentral lists this ribosomal RNA (371 nucleotides) under uncultured bacterium. RNAcentral describes it as "bacterial SSU rRNA". It matches the Rfam family "Bacterial small subunit ribosomal RNA", at positions 917 to 1291 of the family's 1533-position model. The record is from RNAcentral.